Molecule: microRNA precursor, 59 nt
Organism: Cercocebus atys (sooty mangabey)
Lineage: Eukaryota; Metazoa; Chordata; Mammalia; Primates; Cercopithecidae
Source: Ensembl
GUGCAAAAGUAAUUGUGGUUUUUGUCAUGACUUUUAAUGGCAAAAACUGCAAUUACUUU